CCCUUAGAUGUUCUGGGCUGCACGCGCGCUACACUGAAGCGUUCAACGAGUAUUUCACCUUGCCCGGGAGGGUUGGGUAAUCUUUUUAAAACGCUUCGUGAUGGGGAUAGAUUAUUGCAAUUAUGGGUCUUCAACGAGGAAUUCCUAGUAAACGCAAGUCAUCAGCUUGCAUUGAUUACGUCCCUGCCCUUUGUACACACCGCCCGUCGCACCUACCGAUUGAAUGGUCCGGUGAAAUCUCGGGACGGCGGCUUGGUCGCUUGCGUCCGACUGCUGAAACUUGAUUAAACCAUAUCAUUUAGAGGAAGGUGAANUCGUANCA
RNAcentral lists this ribosomal RNA (322 nucleotides) under uncultured eukaryote. Its description in RNAcentral is "partial 18S ribosomal RNA". It matches the Rfam family "Eukaryotic small subunit ribosomal RNA", at positions 1470 to 1796 of the family's 1831-position model. The record is from RNAcentral.